GCGAACGCUGGCGGCAUGGCUAAAGCAUGCAAGUCGCACGGUUAAAGCCCCUUCGGGGGCAUAUAAAGUGGCGAAAGGGCGAGGAAUACGUUCCUACGUACCCCGAGGCCGGGGAUAGGCCGGGGAAACCCGGAUUAAUACCCGAUGCGGCUCGUCGCAAGACGAGUCAAAGCCGCAAGGCGCCUUGGGAGCGGGGAACGUCCUAUCAGGUUGUUGGUGAGGUAAUGGCUCACCAAGCCGAAGACGGGUAGCGGGUGUGAGAGCACGGCCCGCCGCAUCGGGACUGAGACACUGCCCGGACUCCUACGGGAGGCUGCAGCAACGAAUCUUCCGCAAUGCGCGAAAGCGUGACGGAGCAAUGCCGCGUGCAGGAUGAAGCCCCUCGGGGUGUAAACUGCUGUCAGGGUUCAGCAACACAAUGAGCAGACCCAAAGGAAGGGCCGGCUAACUUCGU
RNAcentral lists this ribosomal RNA (454 nucleotides) under uncultured bacterium. RNAcentral's name for it is "bacterial SSU rRNA". It matches the Rfam family "Bacterial small subunit ribosomal RNA", at positions 29 to 506 of the family's 1533-position model. The record is from RNAcentral.